CCUACGGGUGGCUGCAGUGGGGAAUCUUGGGCAAUGGGCGCCAGCCUGAUCCUGCAACGCCUCGUGAAGGCAGAAGGCUUUCGGGUUGUAAACUUCUUUUCUCAGGGACGACGCACGUGACGGUACCUUAGGAAUCAGCCACGACUAACUAGGUGCCAGCAGCCGCGGUAAUACGUAGGUGGCAAGCGUUAUCCGGAGUUACUGGUUGUAAAGGGCGAGGAGGCGGGGAAGCAAGUCAGAUGUGAAAGCCAUGGGCUCAACCGGUGGCCUGUAUUUGAUACUGUUUUUCUUGAGUACUGGAGAGGCAGACGGAAUUCCUAGUGUAGCGGUGAAAUGCGUAGAUAUUAGGAGGAACACCAGUGGCGAAGGCGGUCUGCUGGACAGCAACUGACGCUGAGGCGCGAAAGCGUGGGGAGCAAACAGGAUUAGAUACCCGGGUAGUC
RNAcentral lists this ribosomal RNA (443 nucleotides) under uncultured bacterium. RNAcentral describes it as "partial 16S ribosomal RNA". It matches the Rfam family "Bacterial small subunit ribosomal RNA", at positions 338 to 795 of the family's 1533-position model. The record is from RNAcentral.